CGUAUCACUUAAAGCGAUUCAGCGGAUGACGAUUGACGGAGCGAAGCGACGUCAAAGCGUAUACAAAGUCGAGUCGGUUUAAGGAUACGUUCGUUGGGUAGGGGAGCGUUCUGUAAGCCUGCGAAGGUGGCCUGUGAGGGUUGCUGGAGGUAUCAGAAGUGCGAAUGCUGACAUAAGUAACGAUAAAGCGGGUGAAAAGCCCGCUCGCCGGAAGACCAAGGGUUCCUGUCCAACGUUAAUCGGGGCAGGGUGAGUCGACCCCUAAGGCGAGGCCGAAAGGCGUAGUCGAUGGGAAACGGGUUAAUAUUCCCGUACUUGGUGUUACUGCGAAGGGGGGACGGAGAAGGCUAUGUUGGCCGGGCGACGGUUGUCCCGGUUUAAGCGUGUAGGCUGGUUUUCCAGGCAAAUCCGGAAAAUCAAGGCUGAGGCGUGACGACGAGGCACUACGGUGCUGAAGCAACAAAUGCCCUGCUUCCAGGAAAAGCCUCUAAGCAUCAGGUAACAUCAAAUCGUACCCCAAACCGACACAGGUGGUCAGGUAGAGAAUACCAAGGCGCUUGAGAGAACUCGGGUGAAGGAACUAGGCAAAAUGGUGCCGUAACUUCGGGAGAAGGCACGCUGACAUGUAGGUGAAGUGAUUUACUCAUGGAGCUGAAGUCAGUCGAAGAUACCAGCUGGCUGCAACUGUUUAUUAAAAACACAGCACUGUGCAAACACGAAAGUGGACGUAUACGGUGUGACGCCUGCCCGGUGCCGGAAGGUUAAUUGAUGGGGUCAGCGCAAGCGAAGCUCCUGAUCGAAGCCCCGGUAAACGGCGGCCGUAACUAUAACGGUCCUAAGGUAGCGAAAUUCCUUGUCGGGUAAGUUCCGACCUGCACGAAUGGCGUAAUGAUGGCCAGGCUGUCUCCACCCGAGACUCAGUGAAAUUGAACUCGCUGUGAAGAUGCAGUGUACCCGCGGCAAGACGGAAAGACCCCGUGAACCUUUACUAUAGCUUGACACUGAACAUUGAGCCUUGAUGUGUAG
This 1026-nucleotide ribosomal RNA is filed under the name Salmonella enterica. RNAcentral's name for it is "partial 23S ribosomal RNA". It matches the Rfam family "Bacterial large subunit ribosomal RNA", at positions 1187 to 2141 of the family's 2925-position model. The record is from RNAcentral. Lineage: Bacteria; Pseudomonadati; Pseudomonadota; Gammaproteobacteria; Enterobacterales; Enterobacteriaceae.